CCUGAGCAAGACAGGAACUGAACCUUGUGCCCAGGAGUCUGUGAUUGGUGCGAUAGGCUCUGUGAAUGAUAAAAAGAAGUUAUUGGCUAAAAGCAGGCAAUUGCAGGGACAAAUGCCUUUGGGGCAGCCCUGAAUCCAACACACCACUGAAUAAAACGAUGUUGAUAAUCAGACGGGGAGGUAAAGAAAUCAUUGGAACAAGAAAGGAAAAGGGAAAUGAACUCUCAACUACAAAUACACAGGGUAGAGCACAGAACAAUCAAGCUAUCAAAAAAGUAAAACCAGAGGAUAGAGAAAGAAAAGAGUAAAAGAAUUCAAGUCCCAUUGUGAACUCUUUGUGAAUGGGUAUUCUGAAGUUGGUCCAUUUGGUUCAACUGACCUCUAUCAUCUGAAGAAGCAAGUCUCUGGCUUCCUGGACUGUGUACGGCAAUGUCUGGCUGGUAAUAUAGCGAUCAUGAAGAACUUGCAUGGUUGACUCCACAAUCUCUUGCACAAUGUCACAAACAAAGUCUUCCCCCUCCUCGCCUUCCACCAUAAGGUUCCUAUUAUACGCAAUAAAGGGUUGAAAACAAA
Nematostella vectensis (starlet sea anemone) is the source of this 573-nucleotide long non-coding RNA. RefSeq lists it as uncharacterized. The transcript is spliced from 3 exons. Lineage: Eukaryota; Metazoa; Cnidaria; Anthozoa; Actiniaria; Edwardsiidae. The record is from RefSeq and is a predicted model, not a curated record.